This 204-nucleotide long non-coding RNA is filed under the name Elaeis guineensis (African oil palm). RNAcentral describes it as "long non-coding RNA (EGUI_LNC017626)". Lineage: Eukaryota; Viridiplantae; Streptophyta; Magnoliopsida; Arecales; Arecaceae. The record is from RNAcentral.
GUGCUUGACGGCAUCUUAGAAGCUUUAAGGUCGCUGGCUCAGAAAUCUCUACACGGCCUCCUCCACAUGCGCAUCGGUCCAAGUCUGGGCGUUAAGGCCUGUGAUAACGUCGAAGAGUGUCGAGCUGCUGAAGGGUUGAAGCUAUGGCUGACUCCUAUGACCCGACUCCUACUCACCCCUCCAGUGACCUUGAGCCAUCCCUCA